UACGUAGGGUGCGAGCGUUGUCCGGAUUUAUUGGGCGUAAAGAGCUUGUAGGCGGCUCGUCGCGUCGGGUGUGAAAACUUGCGGCUUAACCGCAAGCCUGCACCCGAUACGGGCGGGCUAGAGUUCGGCAGGGGAGACUGGAAUUCCUGGUGUAGCGGUGGAAUGCGCAGAUAUCAGGAGGAACACCGGUGGCGAAGGCGGGUCUCUGGGCCGAUACUGACGCUGAGAAGCGAAAGCGUGGGGAGCAAACAGG
Molecule: ribosomal RNA, 253 nt
Filed under: uncultured bacterium
Lineage: Bacteria
Description: partial 16S ribosomal RNA
Rfam family: Bacterial small subunit ribosomal RNA
Source: RNAcentral